This 253-nucleotide ribosomal RNA is filed under the name uncultured bacterium. RNAcentral's name for it is "partial 16S ribosomal RNA". It matches the Rfam family "Bacterial small subunit ribosomal RNA", at positions 524 to 776 of the family's 1533-position model. The record is from RNAcentral.
UACGUAGGGGGCAAGCGUUGUCCGGAAUUAUUGGGCGUAAAGAGCGCGUAGGCGGUCCGAUAAGUCGGCUGUGAAAGUCAGGGGCUCAACCCUUGGAAGCCGGCCGAUACUGUCGGACUAGAGUCCGGAAGAGGCGAGUGGAAUUCCCGGUGUAGCGGUGAAAUGCGCAGAUAUCGGGAGGAACACCAAUGGCGAAGGCGGCUCUCUGGGACGGUACUGACGCUGAGACGCGAAAGCGUGGGGAGCGAACAGG